RNAcentral lists this ribosomal RNA (497 nucleotides) under uncultured bacterium. Its description in RNAcentral is "partial 16S ribosomal RNA". It matches the Rfam family "Bacterial small subunit ribosomal RNA", at positions 28 to 507 of the family's 1533-position model. The record is from RNAcentral.
GAUGAACGCUGGCGGCGUGCCUAAUACAUGCAAGUCGAGCGAACAGACGAGGAGCUUGCUCCUCUGACGUUAGCGGCGGACGGGUGAGUAACACGUGGAUAACCUACCUAUAAGACUGGGAUAACUUCGGGAAACCGGAGCUAAUACCGGAUAAUAUAUUGAACCGCAUGGUUCAAUAGUGAAAGACGGUUUUGCUGUCACUUAUAGAUGGAUCCGCGCCGCAUUAGCUAGUUGGUAAGGUAACGGCUUACCAAGGCAACGAUGGGUAGCCGACCUGAGAGGGUGAUCGGCCACACUGGAACUGAGACACGGUCCAGACUCCUACGGGAGGCAGCAGUAGGGAAUCUUCCGCAAUGGGCGAAAGCCUGACGGAGCAACGCCGCGUGAGUGAUGAAGGUCUUCGGAUCGUAAAACUCUGUUAUUAGUGAAGAACAAAUGUGUAAGUAACUAUGCACGUCUUGACGGUACCUAAUCAGAAAGCCACGGCUAACUACGUG